This 580-nucleotide ribosomal RNA is filed under the name uncultured Acinetobacter sp. RNAcentral's name for it is "bacterial SSU rRNA". It matches the Rfam family "Bacterial small subunit ribosomal RNA", at positions 312 to 883 of the family's 1533-position model. Lineage: Bacteria; Pseudomonadati; Pseudomonadota; Gammaproteobacteria; Moraxellales; Moraxellaceae. The record is from RNAcentral.
ACUGGGACUGAGACACGGCCCAGACUCCUACGGGGGGCAGCAGUGGGGAAUAUUGGACAAUGGGGGGAACCCUGAUCCAGCCAUGCCGCGUGUGUGAAGAAGGCCUUUUGGUUGUAAAGCACUUUAAGCGAGGAGGAGGCUACCGAGAUUAAUACUCUUGGAUAGUGGACGUUACUCGCAGAAUAAGCACCGGCUAACUCUGUGCCAGCAGCCGCGGUAAUACAGAGGGUGCAAGCGUUAAUCGGAUUUACUGGGCGUAAAGCGCGCGUAGGUGGCCAAUUAAGUCAAAUGUGAAAUCCCCGAGCUUAACUUGGGAAUUGCAUUCGAUACUGGUUGGCUAGAGUAUGGGAGAGGAUGGUAGAAUUCCAGGUGUAGCGGUGAAAUGCGUAGAGAUCUGGAGGAAUACCGAUGGCGAAGGCAGCCAUCUGGCCUAAUACUGACACUGAGGUGCGAAAGCAUGGGGAGCAAACAGGAUUAGAUACCCUGGUAGUCCAUGCCGUAAACGAUGUCUACUAGCCGUUGGGGCCUUUGAGGCUUUAGUGGCGCAGCUAACGCGAUAAGUAGACCGCCUGGGGAGUAC